This 165-nucleotide ribosomal RNA is filed under the name uncultured bacterium. RNAcentral describes it as "partial 16S rRNA". It matches the Rfam family "Bacterial small subunit ribosomal RNA", at positions 355 to 511 of the family's 1533-position model. The record is from RNAcentral.
UAGGGAAUCUUCGGCAAUGGACGAAAGUCUGACCGAGCAACGCCGCGUGAGUGAAGAAGGUUUUCGGAUCGUAAAACUCUGUUGGUAGAGAAGAACGUUGGUGAGAGUGGAAAGCUCAUCAAGUGACGGUAGCUACCCAGACAGGGACGGCUAACUACGUGCCAG